AACUUUUAACAAUGGAUCUCUAGGCUCUCAUAUCGAUGAAGAACACAGUGAAAUGUGAUAAUUAAUGUGAAUUGCAGAAUUCAGUGAAUCACCAAGUUUUUGAACGCACCUUGCACCUUUUGGUAUUCCAAAAGGUACACCUGUUUGAGUGUCAU
This 155-nucleotide ribosomal RNA is filed under the name Phakopsora pachyrhizi. RNAcentral describes it as "5.8S ribosomal RNA". It matches the Rfam family "5.8S ribosomal RNA". From Rfam's summary of the family: 5.8S ribosomal RNA (5.8S rRNA) is a component of the large subunit of the eukaryotic ribosome. It is transcribed by RNA polymerase I as part of the 45S precursor that also contains 18S and 28S rRNA. The record is from RNAcentral. Lineage: Eukaryota; Fungi; Basidiomycota; Pucciniomycetes; Pucciniales; Phakopsoraceae.